ACGGGUGAGUAACGCGUGGGAAUCUACCCAACCCUGCGGAAUAACUCUGGGAAACUGGAAUUAAUACCGCAUACGCCCUACGGGGGAAAGAUUUAUCGGGGAUGGAUGAGCCCGCGUUGGAUUAGCUAGUUGGUGGGGUAAAGGCCUACCAAGGCGACGAUCCAUAGCUGGUCUGAGAGGAUGAUCAGCCACAUUGGGACUGAGACACGGCCCAAACUCCUACGGGAGGCAGCAGUGGGGAAUAUUGGACAAUGGGCGCAAGCCUGAUCCAGCCAUGCCGCGUGAGUGAUGAAGGCCUUAGGGUUGUAAAGCUCUUUCACCGGUGAAGAUAAUGACGGUAACCGGAGAAGAAGCCCCGGCUAACUUCGUGCCAGCAGCCGCGGUAAUACGAAGGGGGCUAGCGUUGUUCGGAAUUACUGGGCGUAAAGCGCACGUAGGCGGAUAUUUAAGUCAGGGGUGAAAUCCCAGAGCUCAACUCUGGAACUGCCUUUGAUACUGGGUAUCUUGAGUAUGGAAGAGGUAAGUGGAAUUGCAAGUGUAGAGGUGAAAUUCGUAGA
Molecule: ribosomal RNA, 557 nt
Filed under: uncultured bacterium
Lineage: Bacteria
Description: bacterial SSU rRNA
Rfam family: Bacterial small subunit ribosomal RNA
Source: RNAcentral